RNAcentral lists this ribosomal RNA (253 nucleotides) under uncultured bacterium. Its description in RNAcentral is "partial 16S ribosomal RNA". It matches the Rfam family "Bacterial small subunit ribosomal RNA", at positions 524 to 776 of the family's 1533-position model. The record is from RNAcentral.
UACGGAGGAUGCAAGCGUUAUCCGGAAUGAUUGGGCGUAAAGCGUCCGCAGGUGGCAAUGUAAGUCUGCUGUCAAAGCGUCUGGCUCAACCGGAUAAAGGCAGUGGAAACUACAUAGCUAGAGUAAGGUAGGGGUAGAGGGAAUUCCUGGUGUAGCGGUGAAAUGCGUAGAGAUCAGGAAGAACACCGGUGGCGAAAGCGCUCUGCUGGACCUAAACUGACACUGAGGGACGAAAGCUAGGGGAGCGAAUGGG